CCAGAUUUUGGAAAAAAACAAACCCAAACUUAAAUCUUCAGAUUAAAAUAAUAUAUAGAAUGCCAAGCAGGAUUAAAAAAAUAAUCUACACCUAGAUACGCUGGGGUAAAACGUUAAACCAUUGAGAAGGGAAAAAUGCUAAACAGAGUAGGAGAGUAAAAGGUAGAAUAUUCUCAAAAGACAGCUAGGAGACUGACAGCAGACUCUUCAUAAGUAGUUAUAUAUGUCAGAAUAAAGGUCGCUAUGCCUUCAGUCCCUAAGGCAAAGAACCACCACCCUGGAAUUCCAUACCCAACUAAAAGUAUUAUUCAGGAGUGAGGGCCAAAUAAGAAGAUUUUCAAAAAAACCCUCGCUGACCAUUGCUGAAAUAACCACUAACGUGUGUUUAUCACUAGGAAGAAAAUUGAACACGGAACAUUGGAGAGGGCUUGGGGUUACAGUAGUGUGAAACAAACUGGGGAACAUUUUGAUAAUUGCAAAUAAACGUUGGCUCAUAAACACAGCACUAAUUUGGAGGAGAGGACUAAAAACAAGAAGUUAAAAUACGGAACAAUAAGGUGGCAGAUGGCAGGAGGAAGGUCGGAACUGAACCGUUCCAAGACCUGGAGGAUAGAGAUUUUGAUGGGCUUGGGUCUUUUUUAUGUCAAGUAUACAUUUUAAAUUUCUAAGAGAAUGAUACACAUGCAUAAUUUUCAAGCUGAUGAAUGGGAAAGGAGAAUGAAGAAAUUUUAAUCCAUUUAAUAAAAGUCAGGAGAGGAGAAAAAAAGGUUGAAAAUUAAGAGAAAGAAAAAACAUGUCCCAGGAAAACAGUAAACAAAGGAAAUUCGAUUAGUGGUAUUCUUUUUUGUUUGUUUUUGUUUUUGCUGAGGAAGACUUGCCCUGAGCUAACAUCCACUGCCAAUCUUCCUCUUUUUGUAUGUGACCCACCACCACAGCAGGGCCACUGACAGUUGAGUGGUGUAGGUCCACGCCUGGGAACUGAACCCAGGCUGCUGGAGCGGAGCACACUGAACUUAACCACUAAGCCACUUGGGCUGGCCCCAGUUAGUGGUGUUCUUAUUGGAUGAAAUUAAUUUUAAGGCAAAGUGCAUUGAUGCAGAUAAAGAAGAUUACACUGAAUGGUAAGUGAAAAUAUUCACAAGUAAGGUAUAGCAAUUCUAGUCCAAUGACCUAGACUCAAAUAUAUAAGGAAAAAGUUGACAGAGCUGCAAAGAAAAAUGAAAAAAUUCACAAUUAUAGUAAGAGAUGUUAACAGAUCUCUAUCGGAAACCAAUGAAAAAGAAGAUGAAAUAUUAGUAAAACUAUACCAGACACGAAUAACGUGAUUAACAAAGAUGACUUAAUGUCAAAAUAUAUAAUCCUGGACACGACCUCUCCUCAUUUUUUUUAAAGCAUGUGGAACUUUUAUGUUUCCUGACUACAAACACCACAUAAUUGAUAUUAUGCAGAAAAUAUCCGUUGACCACAAUGCACAUUUUUUAAAAAGUAAAGGUAAAGAUCCUCUGUUCUUUGGAAACUAAAUAAAUACACUUACAAGAAGUGAUUAAAGAAGAAAUAAUAUUGGAAAUUAUGAAAUAAUUAGAAUCACAUAAUAAUCAUCGCAAUAUGUGCCAAAACAUGCGAGAUUCAGAUUUAUAUAAUAGAAAAAACAUGAAAGACUGAAAAGUGAAUGAACUAAUCAUUCAACUCUUCAAAUUAGCAAAAGAGAAAACCAAAAGAAAGAAGAAAUUAUAUGCAGAAGAAAUAAAUUGAAAAAAAAAAGAAAGAAUAAAGAAAGUGAACAAAAGCUACACAUAUUAGUAAAAAAGAACAAUACAAAGAAGAAAAUAAAAAUCACCCAUGCAUCUUAUGAUGCACAGAGGCUCCCUGUUGAUAUUUUGGUGCAAGUCCUUCCUGUCUUGUAUAGAGAUGGAGCUGGUGCUAGAGCUGUGACAAAGAUGGCAGAAGAGAAUUGCUCUACUUUUCCAUACACAAAGUUUGGAUUUUAAGGAAAAAUGGUUUGAAAGUGGCAAUGGGAGAAAGAAAGACUCCUACUCUAUUUUCUGGUUGGUGCACAUGGAUUUAGGAGAACACCAACUUGAGAGAGUUGCAGAAACAUCAUUAUCAUCAAGGGACACCGAGGUUUCCGUUGGGUGAGGAAGAGGCAAGGCUUUCAGAGAAGAGAGUGAGGAUAUAGGAGAGCUCUGGAUUAAAAAUCAGGUGUUCCAGAGAUACUGUUGAGAGGUUUAGAGAACAAGGAGGUUCCAUUUUGCUGCCUUUUACUUCUUCGCCAUCUGAAGAUAAGCAGGUUGCCACCCUGGACCACACCUCUAACAGCAUCUCUGCAGUGGCGUGCUGGGUGAGGCAGAGAACAACUCUAGGAGGCAUUGUUGUCUGCAAAGGCAAAGACUUUUGUGGGGACCGUUUGUGGGUUCAACCUUCUCCACACGCUUGUGGUGUCAUACCAAUGGGCUCUGUGUAGCCUCUUCAGGGAUCCCCAGCUGUCUUUACUGCUCACAACUCUAUUAUCUUCUGAAGUCUUGCAGCUUAUAAAAUAGCUAUUUUGGCCAAAGCCGUACAAUAAAGAAUCAUAUUUGACUCUCA
This is a long non-coding RNA of Equus caballus (horse), 2583 nucleotides long. The record is from Ensembl. NCBI's taxonomy places the organism in Eukaryota, Metazoa, Chordata, Mammalia, Perissodactyla, Equidae.